AAAUUCACAGGUUCUCGUCAGAUCACCGAAGUUAAGCGAUAUCAAGCCUAGUCAGAACCUAGAUGAGUGACCUCUUGGGAGUACCAGGGGCUGUAAG
Molecule: non-coding RNA, 97 nt
Organism: Acanthosepion pharaonis
Lineage: Eukaryota; Metazoa; Mollusca; Cephalopoda; Sepiida; Sepiidae
Source: the annotation of a GenBank genome assembly